This 896-nucleotide ribosomal RNA is filed under the name human gut metagenome. Its description in RNAcentral is "bacterial SSU rRNA". It matches the Rfam family "Bacterial small subunit ribosomal RNA", at positions 9 to 910 of the family's 1533-position model. The record is from RNAcentral.
NGGGUUCGAUUCUGGCUCAGGAUGAACGCUGGCGGCGUGCUUAACACAUGCAAGUCGAACGGGAUCCAUCGGGCUUUGCCUGUGGGUGAGAGUGGCGAACGGGUGAGUAAUGCGUGACCGACCUGCCCCAUGCUCCGGAAUAGCUCCUGGAAACGGGUGGUAAUGCCGGAUGUUCCACAUGAUCGCAUGUGAUUGUGGGAAAGAUUUCAUCGGCGUGGGAUGGGGUCGCGUCCUAUCAGCUUGUUGGUGAGGUAACGGCUCACCAAGGCUUCGACGGGUAGCCGGCCUGAGAGGGCGACCGGCCACAUUGGGACUGAGAUACGGCCCAGACUCCUACGGGAGGCAGCAGUGGGGAAUAUUGCACAAUGGGCGCAAGCCUGAUGCAGCGACGCCGCGUGAGGGAUGGAGGCCUUCGGGUUGUAAACCUCUUUUGUUUGGGAGCAAGCCUUCGGGUGAGUGUACCUUUCGAAUAAGCGCCGGCUAACUACGUGCCAGCAGCCGCGGUAAUACGUAGGGCGCAAGCGUUAUCCGGAUUUAUUGGGCGUAAAGGGCUCGUAGGCGGCUCGUCGCGUCCGGUGUGAAAGUCCAUCGCUUAACGGUGGAUCUGCGCCGGGUACGGGCGGGCUGGAGUGCGGUAGGGGAGACUGGAAUUCCCGGUGUAACGGUGGAAUGUGUAGAUAUCGGGAAGAACACCGAUGGCGAAGGCAGGUCUCUGGGCCGUCACUGACGCUGAGGAGCGAAAGCGUGGGGAGCGAACAGGAUUAGAUACCCUGGUAGUCCACGCCGUAAACGGUGGACGCUGGAUGUGGGGCACGUUCCACGUGUUCCGUGUCGGAGCUAACGCGUUAAGCGUCCCGCCUGGGGAGUACGACCGCAAGGCUAAAACUCAAAGAAAU